Molecule: microRNA, 22 nt
Filed under: Triops cancriformis
Lineage: Eukaryota; Metazoa; Arthropoda; Branchiopoda; Notostraca; Triopsidae
Description: tcf-miR-10326
Source: miRBase by way of RNAcentral
UGUAUAGUACUCGGCAUAAAAA